RNAcentral lists this ribosomal RNA (246 nucleotides) under uncultured bacterium. RNAcentral describes it as "partial 16S ribosomal RNA". It matches the Rfam family "Bacterial small subunit ribosomal RNA", at positions 15 to 257 of the family's 1533-position model. The record is from RNAcentral.
GAUCCUGGCUCAGGAUGAACGCUGGCGGCAGGCUUAACACAUGCAAGUCGAACGGUAACAUAAAGAAGCUUGCUUCUUUGAUGACGAGUGGCGGACGGGUGAGUAAUGCUUGGGAAUCUAGCUUAUGGAGGGGGAUAACUACGGGAAACUGUAGCUAAUACCGCGUAAUAUCGAGAGAUUAAAGUGUGGGACCUUCGGGCCGCAUGCCAUAGGAUGAGCCCAAGUGGGAUUAGGUAGUUGGUGAGG